CGAGUAGCUGGGACCACAGGCGCCCGCCACCAAGCCUGGCUAAUUUUUUUGUAUUUUUAAUAGAGACGGGGUUUCACCAUGUUAGCCAGGAUGGUCUUGAUCUCCUGACCUCGUGAUCCGCCCGCAUCGGCCUCCCAAAGUGCUGGGAUUACAGGCGUGAGCCACCGCACCCGGCUGUAUUUUUUUUUUUAGUAGAGACGAGGUUUUUCCAUGUUGAUCAGGCUGGUCUCGAACUGCCCGCCUCAGCCUCCGAAAGUGCUGAGAUUACAGGCGUGAGCCACCACACCCGGCCAACUCCCCUCCAUUUCUACUCACUUUGCCCAGAAGGUUAGAAGAAAAGAAACCCAGGUAACUGCCCUGAGGAAUCUUAGCAUCUUAGAGUACUGUGGCUAUGCUCUUUUCUCCCACUUCAGGGCCUUUGAAGGCAAUUUCCCUGCAGUUUCCUUGUAUCUGGAAUGUUCUUUGCCAAGCUCUAAAACUUCAGGGUUAUUUUUUUUUUUCUCUUUUUUGAGACAGGGUCUCACCUUGUUGCCCAGGCUGGAGUACACUGGCCAACCUUCAGGUUUCCUCAGGGAAGCUUCCCUGGCUGGGUAAAGCAGCCCCCUCCCCUCCCCCACCUCCAGUUAUCCUCCUUCUUGUCCCACUGUUUGUUUCCUUCACAGCACUUUAACACAAUCUAUAAUUAUCUCAUUUAUUUGUUUAUUGUCUGUCUUUUCCUCUAGAAUGCAAGUUCCCAGAGAGAGAGAGUAGGCAUCAUGCCUGUCUUAUUCAGCACCAUAAUGCUAGCACCUGAGACAGUGCCUGCCACUUAGUAGGUGUUAGACGUGUGAUAAAUAAAAAAGUGGACAAAUUAUCUCAUUGAAGCCCCACAAUAACCUUUGGUGAUGGUAAGCACUAUUAUCCCCACCUUACAGAGGAAGAAACUGAGGCUCAGCCACCUACCCAAGGUCAUGCCACUAGAAAUAAGUACAGCCAAAUUUCUAACGUAGGUCUCUCUGACUCCAAGUUUGAUGGAAAGUGGGGACCAUUCUUUUGUUUGUUUUCCGAGAUGGAGUCUUGCUCUGCUGUCCAGGCUAGAGUGCAGUGGCACAAUCUCGGCUCACUGCAACCUCUGCCUCCCGGGUUCAAAUGAUUCUCCUGCCUCAGCCUCCCAAGUAGCUGGGAUUACAGGUGCGCACCACCGUGCCCAGCUAAUUUUGAUAUUUUUAGUAGAGAUGGGGUUUCCCCAUGUUGGCCAGGCUGGUUUCGAACUCCUGACCUCGUGAUCAGCCCACCUCGGCCUCCCAAAGUGCUGGGAUUACAGGUGUGAGCCACCGCGACCAGCCAGGGACCAUUCUUAACCAGCCUAAACUGCACCUGGUUCCUCUUCCUGUCUGCCUGUGUAUCUCCACUCCCAACCCAGGCAUCCCCAGAGAAACCUGGGGCAGGGAAGGGAGGAACACAGAAUCUGGAAGAAUGUAAAUCUGACCUUUUCUUUUACAGGCUUAAAAUCUGUAAAUGGCUCCUCUCCAACCCCUCAAUCCAAGCACUUUAAGUUGACCAGCAGGUCCUUAGUUCUGGCCCCUGCCUUCUUCUCCAACUUCUCCUGCCCUCCUGAGCCACCUCACCUCCUCCUCCACCUCCAGACCCUGGCACAUACUCCUCCUCAGCCUGCAAGGCUGACCCCUUCCUCAGUAGCCUAUCCCUCAUUUGCCCUUUGAAACUCAGCUCUGGCACCACCCCUUCCAGAAAGCCUCUAGACUUUGGAGAGGACAGCGCCUUUAGGUCUCCUGCCAGAAUUUCCGGCUCAAGGCAGGGCCGAACACAAGAUGUGGUCAUUGUUUACCUGUCUGCCUUUCCCACAGAGACUGUGUGUCAUUCUUGGGGUCCAGUACCCUGUGCCGGUCUGGCACAUGGGAGGGGCUCAGGAAAUGUUUGUAGAAUGAGUUAAUCAACCAGUGACAGGAUUCUGGUACCCAGUCGGCCACCACAUCUCCUCCAACUUCCUUAACUCCAGACAUCUUUUCCUGGGCUAGGCCUUAACAGAAGGAACUCCUCACCCUUCACUGUGGGGUCAAGUCAGGGGUGGAGACAAUGCGGGCCCCUCCCCCGCUGAUUCAGCGCCUCUCCUAAUGAGGUGAGGCCUCAGGUUUAGGAAGGGUUGCCACACCCACUGGUAGGGGGAGGGUCUGUGAUUCUGUAACUGGAGGAUAGGUAGGGGGCUUCGGUUGUAGACUGAGUAGGGAGCUGACCUAAGCCGGUAGAUUCAAGUACUGCCCGAGAGAUCUCUGCCUUUCCGCCCCACACCCCAGUCACCCCGCGCCAGGCUCUCGGCGCGUCAGAUCCCGGCCCUGCGUUCUUCAUCUCCUGCCCCGCCACGCCCCCAACUGCAGAUCCAACUCGGGUCUCUCCGAAAGCAGCAAGGAGCCUCGGGGUGGGCUCUAUGCCCCGUGAUGCUCCGCGUCUGGGAACGGAUGAAGGGGUGCCAGCAACCCCCGCCGUCCCCGCUGUCGAUCCGGGUUUACACGAGGCUCAUCCGGGAUUAGUCCCUGCGGUCGGCUAAUCCCAGCGGCUGGACCGACCCCGGGGUCCGGAGCGAGGCCCACACAGUACCGGCCUAGGGAGCUAGGGCGCGGGUCGAGCAAAAGCGCGCGACGCUGGGCGGGUGUGGGGGUGGGGAGGGGCGGAGGAGGGAGCAACGCCCCGGGAGGCGGGGCCAGGAACCGGCUGAUCCGGUCUCUGUUUUCCGACCUCUCCGGAGCGGGUGUUUACCCGGGAGCCGGACGGAGGAGGCCGGGGCCGGUCGAGCCCGGAAGGGGGGAGGGGAGCGCAGUCGGAGACCGAGGCUGAGACCUUUUCGGUUCCUUUCCCCUAAAUCGACUUCCAACCCUCGUUCCUGAGCGUGGGAGAACGCGGCAGACAGACAGAUGUCUCCCGCCCCUUAUCCUAUCCAGUUCCGCAAUUCACACUCGUUGCCAAAGAGUGGGGAGCGGGAAUGGAUACACCCGGGAACGACUGCACGUCCUGCGGGCGCCCGGGGAAGAAGGCAGCGCAGCACAAAACCUCUCCUGCGGUCACCUCCCACCCCAUCCUGCACCUGAGUUCUUGCGGGGAGGGGGUGCCCACAGCAGGUCGGGCCCAGAGGAUCCGGCAGGGGUCACUUUGAGGUGUACGGACUAGGAGUCUAUCCUCAGAACGCGUCAGCUCGACCCCAUCCCCGAUUAAUACCAGUGCGGGUCUCAGUCUCUUGUCCCUCGCGUCCCCCAGCCCUCUCCAAGGCCUCCAGAUUUAGCUCCCACUCUCCACGGGACGCAGGCCCGAGGACCCGGAAGAAGCUGAGUGGGGUCCGGUUUUCACACUUUUAUUGUAAAGCUCGGGAAUAAUUACACGGGUCUUUCAUUGACAGCUCAGCAAACAAACCGGAAACGAACCGAACCGGAGGGGACACAGUCUCCCCUCCCCAUGGGCAGACACACCCGCCCGAAACCCCAUGGGCGGGACACAGUCCCCCCUCCCAGAGAAGUCCCCAGUGGAGACGCCCCUUAAGAGACUUUCUCAUGGCCAACACAAGCCCUCCCAACACCCGGAGACAGCCCCGACCCAGGGAAGAAAUGGCUCCAGAGGCCCUACCCUCGGGAGAGAGAGGUAUCCCAGGGCUCCUAGGAGAAAAGACAACUCAGAGAUGCCCAGCCUCAUCCUAAAGUGCUGCAGGGCAGAGAAACCCCCAUAGGAGAGAUGGGGGUAGGGCCAGAAACAUCCCUUCCCAGACGUGUUUCAGAGAUAGCCCCCUUCCCUGGGAAGAGAGAUGGCCCGAAACUGACUUGCCUUAAGUACUCCCAGGAACCCUGGGAGGAAAACAGGCUCCCCAGAGAGCCUGGGUAAUUGGGGGAGACAUGCUCCCGUGGUCCUCAGCGGGAACACAUGUCCCCCGGAGACUCCCAAGGGGAGAGAUAGGGCCUAGAGAGACCCCAGAGGUGAGGGAUGCCCAGAGAACUUCCCCCCACCCCGGAAUGUGAAACAUGCUUCAAGGACCCUAGGAGAGAAAUAUGUCCCCAUAUACCCUCCCCCUACGGAGAGACAUGCCCUGAAGUAGGGGGAUGGGGACCGACUAGGUCCCCUCUGGGAAGACACAGACUGGGUCAGGCUGGGUUUGAGGGGGGCUCUCCUCUGGCCAAAUGUCGCCUAUUGGUACAUAAAACUGUACGCGACACAGGCAUUGGGGAGGGGCUUCACAGACCUAGGACCCACAGGGAUAGUCCCCAGUGCUGUCGCCAACCCCUGCCCACCUUUGGUUUCAUCUCUCCAGUGCCCAGUUGGUGACAGACUCAGUGCCCUGGCCCCAACCAGGGGGCUGGGGGCUCUGUCUUUGCCUGUGGGAAGGGCUUCUCAGCUCUCCCAGCCAUCUGGGCCACCCUCUUUCUUCUGGCUUCUCCAUUGUGCAAAAUGCUCCUCUGCUCUUCUGCUCAGUGCUCAGGGGUCUCUAAGACCAGGGCAAGGUACCCAGGCCACUAGGGGCUUCCAGUGGGAGUCCACUGACCCCAGGAAUGCCGCCUGUCUGGACCACCUUCUCCACCAAGCAAAUGGGCCUCAUACAAUCUUCUUGCCCGAAUCCUGACCUCCAGGACCCAGGACAAUCCUUGAGGCCACUGUUCCACCAGCUGGGCACCCAAUACUACCAACUCCAAGACUAUUGCACCUGCCCCAUUUGUGCAGGGGAAAGGGGCUGUCUCUUUAACAAGCCCCAAGCCCAUCUCCUGGGCCUCCCCAAGGGAAAGGAGCCUUUGGCCAACCCCUAGACCUGGCUGCUGCCACCCCAUCCCAUUCUACCCCUUCCCCUCUGUAGAAGGGCUUCGUAUGCCAGGGCUACCAGCCUAACAAUGCUCUCCUUCCUAGCACUGUCACCCCAAGCCAAGUUGGGGGUAAGGGGCAGAUAAAUAGGGUGAUUCUUCAGGCCCCUGGCUUUUCCGGGGUGGGGGUGGGGUCUCUGGGGUACAAGAGUCAAGACCCCAGCAGCACAGCUCCCAAAGGCACCAGACGACCCCGCAGCCUGUACCCACCGCUCGCAAUCUUGGACCACCUCCCCAAGCUUAGACUAAGUCAAGCAAGGGCCAUACCCUGAGUCUCCAGCCUCCCAGCCUGGGCCCCUAGGGAGCUGGAGAGGUAUGGGCCAAGGCAGUGGGGGUUUCUGGAAGGAAGAGGGGCUGAGGCUUUGAGAUGGCCACAGUGGGAGACGGGGGCUCUGCAGGACGCCCCUUACACCCUGGCCCCCUGAGGUGAAGAAGAGAACUUCACCUCAUCAUGGCUGACUGGGCUUCUCUGCCCCCCAACCUCCCUACCCCCUCCCCCAUGGGACCCCUGACCCUGACAAAGGGAAGCCCAACUGGAAGAAGGGGGCCUGGAGCCCAGGGUGCCCUGAGGCAGCCCUCCCACCCCCUGAGAUCAAGGCAAUGGUGGUUUUACAGGCUGACGGGUCAGUCAUGGCAGGGGCUGGGGGUUGAGAGGGCAGGGAGGGGGCAGGAUGCAGGCCCCCUAUAUCGGGAGCAGCACCCAGCCACCCCCUGAGCAAACCUUCCUGCUCCCAACUCACCCAACCAGGCCAGAGGCACAGUCAUCCCACCCCUGUCCAGCUGCCCCCCACAGCCUCAGGGCCCCUCUGUGAUGCUCAUCUGGAUGUGGGAGGCCAGCCUGAGCGGGGAUCCCCCCAGGGCACAGCGCAACAGUUCCAAAAAAAUAGAGAUUUGUAUUUUUAAGAAAAAUUAAAUAAAAGCCCAGCUCUGCUGAU
RNAcentral lists this long non-coding RNA (5761 nucleotides) under Homo sapiens (human). RNAcentral describes it as "PREDICTED lncRNA (TCONS_00214535)". The record is from RNAcentral. Lineage: Eukaryota; Metazoa; Chordata; Mammalia; Primates; Hominidae.